GCCCCGAAAGUGGUCCGGAUGGGGUUGUACUGGAAGCCGCCGGCUUGGCUGCAGGAGCUGAAGUCCGCGUACGCCGAGGCCAGGCUGGAGGUGUCCAUGCCGGCCAUGCAGGACUCGUAGGCGGAGGAGUUGAGGGUGCAAACAAAUUGGAGCAGGUUCACAGAAGGACAAUGAGAGAGUCUACAUUUGGGAUCUGUCAUCGACAUCAUCAUCAUCACCAUCAUCAUUAUUAUUAUUGUUCAGAGGCAUAAGAAAAUAAAGUUGGUAUUUAAGGCGAAACACCCCGGAACAUGGGAAUGAAUCAAAUAUUAAACACCAGUGAGCAUUCCAGAGCAGCUUUCUUUUUGAUUGCUUUAUUUGCCGGAGACUGCUAAUGAUUCCCACUAGAGAUGACCGCAGUGUGAGGUAUCAGUUUAGAAAUGUCAUUUGGGCCCAAGCAGGCUCCAAUAUUUUCUGUCAUUUAUAAUUUUGAUAACCACAAGACUAAAGCUGGCCGUAGUCUCUACUAAGGGGCACACUUGAUAUAUUUGUAAUCCAAUUUAGUCUCUCAAAUGGAAAGAGCCACCAGCACAAUCAGUAAAUAAUUGCCGUGUUUUUUGAAAAAAUUGAAGCCAGUUGUUUAAAUACCUUUUAGUCACCUACUGUAUUUCAUGGCUUGUUGUGUUCUUUUUACAUUAGGUCACCAUCUUGUAUUCUGUAUAAAUGGGUAAUCAAAGUAAGACCUAUAUUUUUGAAAUUCCCUACCGGUAUUAGCAAACCAUCUUGUCCAUCUACUAAUGAAUGUGCUCUACAGUUGUUGUAAGCUAAUCUUUUCAACACAUUAAGAAAUCAGUGAGGAGAACCUAUUGGCUAUUUGUGAUAUUCUUUGUUCCAUGGUUACACCAGAGAUAUAAUAUAUUUGCACCUUUAAAAUAAGUUGAUGCAAUAAAGUCAUAUUACAAAAAACAUUCCAUUUUGUCUCAUUUUGAAAGUGAUAAUUCAGUCUCUAAGCUUAUUGGAAUCAUUAAUACUUGGCCUAGUCAGGGAUGAGUUUUUGAGCCUAAGAAGUGUUUGUUAAGAUAGAUACAGAUGCGAGUAGUUGGUUUGCAUGAUGUGGAAUAUACUAGUUUUCUCAUUAUUAUAGCACCAGAUCCUGUCCGAUUAUAGAAGCUAAGCAGUACCAGCACUGUUUCAUAAAAUAAGAAUAAAACGUUAUUUAUAUCCCCAAGUCCCCCUGGGGAGAGAGG
This is a long non-coding RNA of Anolis carolinensis (green anole), 1226 nucleotides long. RefSeq lists it as uncharacterized. The record is from RefSeq and is a predicted model, not a curated record. The transcript has 4 exons. Lineage: Eukaryota; Metazoa; Chordata; Lepidosauria; Squamata; Anolidae.